UGGGUAACAGUGCCAGGGCGUGGCCUUCACUGGGGAGGACCCAGGCCUGCACAUAUGUCAGUCUUGGGCUCUCCCUCAGCUUGUGCCAUCCACCAUGAGCUUUUCUGAGCAAAACAUGGCCCAGGCCAGCAGCGGGAGUCUCUCCAGGCUGGGCACACCCAAUGCCAGCUCAGAUGGAAACCUGGGCGCGUUGGCCGGGAGCCCUGUGCCAGGACAGAUGAUGGAGGUGGCAGUGACCCUCUCUGGGAAAGAAGUCUGCCCUUGCUAAGGUUACCCCAGAAGCUGGGAGCAGAGGCAAAAGGAGAAAGAAAAAUGUCAAAGAAAAGAAGAAACACACAAAAAGAUGACCUGAGAGGCAUCAGAGAGCCAGGAAAGGGAACAUUCUGGACUUCCAGAUGUGGUAGUUCUUGGUAAAAGGGACCUUCAGCAGCGCACACCAGGCCACUGCAACCACAGCCAGGCACAGAGGAAAACUGUGCAAAGAGUGUGAGAGUGAAGAGCGCACCUCUCCUCUUACCCAGCACUUCUACUCCUGGGAAUGCAUAUCAUAAAAACAAACAAGCCCUUGCGUUAUUUCUACUCAUUAAACUUAGAGAGUUCGCUGUGUAGGAGGUGAUGUGAAAAAUUUCCAAUCACGUUUGAAACAUGAACGGUGGGCUCCGUGCCUUGUGUCUGCCUGGCAUGUGUUUCUUCAUGGUGCCCGGAGGAAGGUUUGGGAGACCCACGCCGCAGCGUUGGCGUCUAACAAACAGGCACAGAGGGCAGAGCAGCUGGAGGAGGCCAGGGCGACGGGAGCGCGCCCCAGAGAACUGUAUUUCAGAAUUACUAGCGUGGGAACAGCGGGGAGCGUCCCCUGGCUGCACUCCUGCGUGA
RNAcentral lists this long non-coding RNA (873 nucleotides) under Rhinopithecus bieti (black snub-nosed monkey). RNAcentral describes it as "lncRNA (ENSRBIG00000046801.1)". The record is from RNAcentral. Lineage: Eukaryota; Metazoa; Chordata; Mammalia; Primates; Cercopithecidae.